RNAcentral lists this ribosomal RNA (441 nucleotides) under uncultured bacterium. Its description in RNAcentral is "partial 16S ribosomal RNA". It matches the Rfam family "Bacterial small subunit ribosomal RNA", at positions 338 to 795 of the family's 1533-position model. The record is from RNAcentral.
CCUACGGGAGACAGCAGUAGGGAAUUUUGCGCAAUGGGGGAAACCCUGACGCAGCAACGCCGCGUGAUCGAUGAAGCCCUUCGGUGUGUAACAAUCUGUCAGUGGGGACGAAACCUGACGGUACCCACAGAGGAAGCACCGGCUAACUCCGUGCCAGCAGCCGCGGUAAUACGGGGGGUGCAAGCGUUGUCCGGAAUCAUUGGGCGUAAAGAGUUCGUCGGUGGCACGUUAAGUCUGGUGUUAAAGGCGGAAGCUCAACUUCUGUACGGCACUGGAUACUUGCGAGCUAGAAUGCGGUAGAGGGAAAGGGAAUUCCUGGUGUAGCGGUGAAAUGCUUAGAUAUCAGGAGGAACAUCGGUGGCGUAAGCGCUUUACUGGGCCGUAAUUGACGCUGAGGAACGAAAGCCAGGGUAGCAAAUGGGAUUAGAUACCCGGGUAGUC